GCGCCACUCUGAUUUAAUAUCCCCGAUCAACCCUUUUAUCACACUUAAUUAAUCAAAAGCAGAUGAAGUAGGAGGACUAAAUGUCCUCGUCAUCCUAGAUUCCUAAAAUGCAUCAAAGAAAAUUUCCACCGAUCACUAUAGUUCACUAGACCUCAAUAUAUUUUGCACGUCAACAUAUCAAAUAUUUCAGUGAUCCUCAAACCAUGCUCUGAUACCAC
RNAcentral lists this long non-coding RNA (218 nucleotides) under Musa acuminata (dwarf banana). Its description in RNAcentral is "long non-coding RNA (MACU_LNC010788)". Lineage: Eukaryota; Viridiplantae; Streptophyta; Magnoliopsida; Zingiberales; Musaceae. The record is from RNAcentral.